Molecule: long non-coding RNA, 3101 nt
Organism: Parus major (Great Tit)
Lineage: Eukaryota; Metazoa; Chordata; Aves; Passeriformes; Paridae
Exons: 2
Source: RefSeq, a predicted model, not a curated record
UACUGCCAUAACUGAAUAAACAUUUUUGAUGCUGAGUGUAUAGUUUUGAACACCUUCAGGUAAACAGCUUCUGCCUGCUCUGAUGUUAUUGUAGAAUAUUUGUCUGGAGCAUGUUCCUCAGCCUGUCUGAGGGCCAGGGGAGCCAUCUCCAUCUGCUGAACAUUCCUCAGGUGAACUACUGACCUCCACCGAUCCAACACCUGCAACACCUGCGAGCUGCUCAACCGUGGCCACCGGGCCGCUGAGUGACACCGAGCAAGAUGCUCCUGCAACAGCUUGGAGGAAACUGGGUGGCUUUUUUAUAGACUUUAAAAUGAAACAGGAAUCAAAACUCCUUCUGAUAGCAGUAAAGCUGGAAGCAAUUCCAAGCCUUUCUUGAGCAGAAAGGCUGCUCUUGACUGUUAUUCCCAGAAACGAGCACUGUCAUCCGCUGAACACUUCAACCACACUAAAAGAGGCACCUGGACUCAGAAGAUUGAAGCUCUGCUCAGUUUUCUCAAGUUGGAUAUUCUGGUAUUUCUGGUGCAUCCUGCAUAUGUAGAAGCAGCAAAAUUUGUCUUGGGGAAGAGAGGCAUCAGCACGGAGAGGGGACAGAUGGUGAACGUUACCGAGACCAAACUACGGCUCGAUCUUUGCAGAGAGAGCGGGUCCUGCAAGGUCUGCUGAACUGGAGACUAUCAUGGAAAUACUUGUUCCUCAUGUGCAGAUCAGGAAGCUGGAGUCAAGUAUUUCUCCUGUUGGACAAAUGCCUCUGGAAUUCCACAAACUGCUUGGCAUAUCUGACAGAGCAGGCAGAAGAAUCCCAGCCUUCAUUUCCUGUCCAGUCUGCCUGCAUGGAGCAUGGCUUUGGAGACACUGCUCCCUGCUUCAGGUCAAGUAGUGGCAGGGAAGAAGGGGCAUCUACCUGAAUAUCUGAAAAAAUGCAAGUAGAAGGAAAGAUUUGAAAACAAACAGUGUUGGGAUAAGCUUUUUUUUUGACUUCAAAGCAUUUGUUGAUGAAACAUUGCCUAGAUUUUUAACUAAUUUUAAGGGUUUUAAGGGUUUGUCUUAGCUUGCAACUCAUCUAGGUUUGUUUUGCAUCUUGAAGGUAUCUUUACAAAAUAGUGGUAAAACAAAAAAUUAUGUGGAAGAGUUUAAUGGAUCUUGAAAGGAAAUAAAGUUGUGGCUUUCUGGUACCUGGACACCUCAAAUCCUUCUGUGAUCUUGUCAGUGUCUUGUCAGUGCCUUGCCAUGAAUAAAUGAUAUAGGAAGAAAAUAGCGGUCUAUCACAACCCCUCUCCAUUUUUAGCUAAAAAAGUACCUGUGACUGCAUAUCUGAAUCAAACUAAUUUUAUCUUUAAAAAGUAGAGGAGGGGUGCCUUGCUAAUGGGUUCUUUUGUCUAGAUGGGACUUAAUCAGAAGUAGCUAUGGCCACAAUUACAUACAGAUUCACUUUUGUGAAUUUGAAAAUCCUGUGGGGCAUUUUUCUCUCUGGAGAGUGUAUACAUCAUUCCCAUUCAGAAUUCCAGUUGUCCCAGUUAAAGAGCACAAACUGGACUUCAGAAGUUUUCCAGGGCUUAUCAUCCAUGCCAUGCUUUCUUACACUUAACUAACAUAACUAAUAAAAAAACAAGUGCCAAAAUGUGGGAAAUCCAUGGCUGGAUUGCUCCAUGCAUCUCUGCUAACCUGUGUAUCACUUUUCUUUGUGCAGUUGUUCAAGAGUCUAAUGGAGAGUCCUGCCCUUUUGAAUGGGAAUUUUGCCAGCUGCAUUAACUGGGACAAGAUUAUUGACUGUCUGAGGCAAAGCUUAGAAGAUAAUUGUUGUGUUUAACUGCUAAUUCUUUAGCAUUAUCCCAGUAACUUGUUGAUGCAUCCAAGAGUUGCUUGAUGUCUAUAUAUACACACACCCACACAUGUGCACUCGCCUGCCUUUGGGAAUACCCUCACCCUUGUUAAUAUGAGUACAAAGCUUCACUGGGCUUUCUUAUUUGUAAACAGAAAAUGUUUGGUCUUAUGUCCUGAUAAAGGGAGAUACUACAAACACAGUGUGGAGCUGUCUUUGUGUCUAUGUUCAUCUCAGAAACUCAGCAGCUCACCCUUGCAUGCGGACUGCCAUGGCUCAAGAUGCUGAAGAUGCAGAAACAGCAAAGGGAAAAAGUAACGCUGCACAUUGCUAACCCCCUGCUGCAGGGAUGGCUCACCCGUUUGGAGAGCUGUGCACAGCCCAUGACAUCCCUCACUCGGUAGGAUCUCUGUGAUCUGAGAAUUGGUACCUGCCACCCGAUGUGUCUCCUGCUGCUAGACAGGUCUAUGAAGUAAUGGAGCCUGGCUGUCUGCAGUCAGCACUGCUGUACUACAUCCAAAGCAAGCUUGCCAGUCAGCAAAUGCUGCAUUAAUCUUUCAGGGAGUGUUUGUUUUGCUUGUUUUGCUAGGCUGAGUUUCAAGCAACUGAUAAUGUGCUCAUGAGCAGUUCUCCUGUUGCAGCCCAUUUUUCAAAAAGAAGUGUGAAGGCUGAAGCUCCCUAGGUUGGGUGGAACACGGGUUGGAAGGGUUAUAAAUGGUCUUGCUUCACUGUGUGAGCUCACAGCGCUUUUGAGUGCAUGUUAAUACAUCUGCAGGUACAUUUGGGCCAGUGGAGCUGUGGCUCUUUGAAGUCUGAUGAGUGUUAUAAGAACAGACUUUGGACUUGGUUCUUCUCCGUUAAUGUUAACUCUGCUUGUGGAGUUAUCUCACUGCAAAUAAGAUGCACUUUUGUGUGCUGAGUCAAACCUUCUGACUGCUGAAGGAGAAACUCUGAAGGCUUCUGAGGGUUAGAUAAGACAAACAUUUUACAGGUCACAGGAUUUUAAGUGUUGAAAUGCCUGGAAUUUCAGGAGGUAAAUGACAGUGUGCCUGGCUUGUCCCCACUUGUCCCUGCAGUGUUGCUGCUCUGUCCAGCUGCAGCACUGAACUUACAGCUCUCACUUCAAGGCCCAUCCUUUCAAGUCUUUUUGCAUUUAGCUCCUCUAAGCAAAAAAGAAUUUAGACACACAAAUAACUUUUAGAAUGUGGAAAAUUCACAUUUUGUAUGUAUUUUGAUUCUUGUAUGUGCAGAACCUUUAAAUACAAGGCACUUUUCUGGA